GUGGGGGCGUGUGAGUGGUGAUCGGGAUGUUUGUGCUGGCUGGCUCCAUGCUCGUAGUCAUCGAACAGUCAGCACGCGUUUCGCCUCAGGUUUGCCCUCGGGUUUGUUGCCCUGCGGGUUACUCGUGGUUCUUGUGUUGCCUACCCGUUUAGCGGUAUUCAUGUGCCUCUUAAGACCCGUUCCAUCCAGACCCCUUCUUGGGGCUUCUGGGGAGUUCGAAAGUGAUGCAUGUUUUGCGUUAGCUGUGCAUUGUAACGGCUGGCGUGCUAACAUGUGUAUACUGUUCCCUCGGAUGCUGUGCACGCGGUGAACGUGGGCUGACGAUUGUGCCCCGUUGAGUCCCUUUGAGUUAUCGGUUGCCUUGAAUGACACUCUGUCGUAGUGCUGGUGUUGCUUUACCAUUCGUGGUGUCAACACUAGUACGUCGAGCAGAGUCGUUGAUG
RNAcentral lists this unclassified non-coding RNA (443 nucleotides) under Stauracanthus genistoides. RNAcentral describes it as "partial external transcribed spacer". Lineage: Eukaryota; Viridiplantae; Streptophyta; Magnoliopsida; Fabales; Fabaceae. The record is from RNAcentral.